Molecule: ribosomal RNA, 253 nt
Filed under: uncultured bacterium
Lineage: Bacteria
Description: partial 16S ribosomal RNA
Rfam family: Bacterial small subunit ribosomal RNA
Source: RNAcentral
UACGAAUGGGGCAAGCGUUGUUCGGAAUCACUGGGCUUAAAGCGUGCGCAGGCGGAUAUGCAAGUCAGGAGUGAAAUCCCAGGGCUCAACCCUGGAACUGCUCUUGAAACUGCAUAUCUAGAAUACCGGAGAGGUUGGGAGAAUUCCUAGUGUAGAGGUGAAAUUCGCAGAUAUUAGGAGGAAUACCAGUGGCGUAGGCGCCCAACUGGACGGUCAUUGACGCUCAUGUACGAAAGCGUGGGGAGCAAACAGG